CACAGCCAGAAGGCCAAGGUAUCACACUUUGAGACAAUGCCCUGGGCGAUUUCACAAUACAGCCACCUCCUCCCCUCCCAAAGUCAAGCACAGCACCCACAUCCCCGUGAGGCGGUGGUCCUCAAGGAGGAGGGUGUCUGACCUGGACAGUAAAUGCAGGAAAACUGGACCCAGACCUUGGCAUUCUCAGCUCUUUCUGCACUGAGAUUUGAUUCUCUCCAUCUCUCCAAGGAAGACCGGGAUGGCAAAAGGAGCAAGGCCAAUUAGCCCCACCUGCUAUGGGUGACUGUUUCUGACUCAUCCCGUGGGACAGGAAAAAACCAUCCCAUCUGCAUUCAGACUUAAUGACCUAGCACAUAACUGCAAGUACCUGAAGGGCGAAGACGAAGUCUGGUUCAAAAUCAUCUUCCUAGCACCUACCACAGUACCUGGCACACACCUUGACUGGACUGAAUUCAAACUCCUGGGCACAUAAGCUGAAGUCUGCACAGACAGGGAGGGGACAUUCUCCAGGCCCUACUCUUCCUGUCAGGGCACCCCCUCCACAGGCACACUCAGAGCCAACUCGCCCCUGAACAAUGAAGCCAUUCUCCCUCCUGUUCCAAGAGCACUGCCUCACAGACAGCUCCGCAGUGGGGAUUGGAAUGGCGCCCAUCCUAUAAACUGAGACCCGCAGAGACAGGUUAAGAAGAGACUGACCGGGAGACAAGGAAAGUGAGUGUUGAGUACAGGUGGAAGGAG
RNAcentral lists this long non-coding RNA (741 nucleotides) under Homo sapiens (human). RNAcentral's name for it is "non-protein coding lnc-MYBPH-1:1". Lineage: Eukaryota; Metazoa; Chordata; Mammalia; Primates; Hominidae. The record is from RNAcentral.